UGAUAGCUAAACCAACAACUGGGAGUUUUCUUUGAGUGUUCAUUCAAAGUCUCUUGAAAUUAGUCAUGCGAGUCUACUUAUGUUCAAUCUCUGAUGUAAUAGAAUAUGUUCCAUCGGAGUGGUAUGAGUGGACCCUUUAUUGCAGAAAGAUAAUCUUGCAAGUUGUUGUCAAAUCAGGUAGGAUUACCCGCUGAACUUAA
This 200-nucleotide unclassified non-coding RNA is filed under the name soil metagenome. Its description in RNAcentral is "partial contains internal transcribed spacer 2 and large subunit ribosomal RNA". The record is from RNAcentral.